Small nucleolar RNA from Dipodomys ordii (Ord's kangaroo rat), 125 nucleotides. The record is from Ensembl. NCBI's taxonomy places the organism in Eukaryota, Metazoa, Chordata, Mammalia, Rodentia, Heteromyidae.
AGCACUUCGGCGUAUCUUUGUUUAAUUUAUGACAAAGCCUUACAGACCCGUUCAAACAUUAAGUCCUCUUUUGCAACCCAGAACAUUGGUGAAUAUGAACUUUGGCACAGGUAAGAAAGAAUAUG